CCUGUGAGGGUUGCUGGAGGUAUCAGAAGUGCGAAUGCUGACAUAAGUAACGAUAAUGCGGGUGAAAAACCCGCACGCCGGAAGACCAAGGGUUCCUGUCCAACGUUAAUCGGGGCAGGGUGAGUCGACCCCUAAGGCGAGGCUGAAAAGCGUAGUCGAUGGGAAACAGGUUAAUAUUCCUGUACUUGGUGUUACUGCGAAGGGGGGACGGAGAAGGCUAGGCUAGCCGGGCGACGGUUGUCCCGGUUUAAGCAUGUAGGCGGAGCGACUUGGUAAAUCCGGUUGCUUAUCAACGCUGAGGUGUGAUGACGAGUCACUACGGUGAUGAAGUAGUUGAUGCCAAGCUUCCAGGAAAAGCCUCUAAGCAUCAGGUAACAUUAAAUCGUACCCCAAACCGACACAGGUGGUCAGGUAGAGAAUACUCAGGCGCUUGAGAGAACUCGGGUGAAGGAACUAGGCAAAAUGGUGCCGUAACUUCGGGAGAAGGCCCGCUGGCAUUAGGUAAAGGGACUUGCCCCCGGCCCCGAAGCCAGUCGCAGAUACCAGCUGGGUGCAACUGUUGAAUAAAAACACGGCACUGUGCAAACACGAAAGUGGACGUAUACGGUGUGACGCCUGCCCGGUGCUGGAAGGUUAAUUGAUGGGGUCAGCCUUACGGCGAAGCUCUUGAUCGAAGCCCCAGUAAACGGCGGCCGUAACUAUAACGGUCCUAAGGUAGCGAAAUUCCUUGUCGGGUAAGUUCCGACCUGCACGAAUGGCGUAAUGAUGGCCAGGCUGUCUCCACCCGAGACUCAGUGAAAUUGAACUCGCUGUGAAGAUGCAGUGUACCCGCGGCAAGACGGAAAGACCCCGUGAACCUUUACUAUAGCUUGACACUGAACAUUGAGCCUUGAUGUGUAGGAUAGGUGGGAGGCAUCGAAGUGUGGACGCCAGUCUGCAUGGAGCCAACCUUGAAAUACCACCCUUUAAUGUUUGAUGUUCUAACUCGGCCCCAUAAUCUGGGGUGAGGACAGUGUCUGGUGGGUAGUUUGACUGGGGCGGUCUCCUCCCAAAGAGUAACGGAGGAGCACGAAGGUUAGCUAAUCACGGUCGGACAUCGUGAGGUUAGUGCAAAGGCAUAAGCUAGCUUGACUGCGAGAGUGACGGCUCGAGCAGGUACGAAAGUAGGUCUUAGUGAUCCGGUGGUUCUGAAUGGAAGGGCCAUCGCUCAACGGAUAAAAGGUACUCCGGGGAUAACAGGCUGAUACCGCCCAAGAGUUCAUAUCGACGGCGG
Molecule: ribosomal RNA, 1273 nt
Filed under: Yersinia enterocolitica subsp. enterocolitica WA-314
Lineage: Bacteria; Pseudomonadati; Pseudomonadota; Gammaproteobacteria; Enterobacterales; Yersiniaceae
Description: bacterial LSU rRNA
Rfam family: Bacterial large subunit ribosomal RNA
Source: RNAcentral